Molecule: ribosomal RNA, 301 nt
Filed under: uncultured bacterium
Lineage: Bacteria
Description: partial 16S ribosomal RNA
Rfam family: Bacterial small subunit ribosomal RNA
Source: RNAcentral
CAGUAGCCGCGGGAAUACGGAGGGUGCAAGCGUUAAUCGGAAUUACUGGGCGUAAAGCGCACGCAGGCGGUCUGACAAGUCAGAUGUGAAAUCCCCGGGCUUAACCUGGGAACUGCAUUUGAAACUGUCAGGCUGGAGUCUUGUAGAGGGGGGUGGAAUUCCAGGUGUAGCGGUGAAAUGCGUAGAGAUCUGGAGGAAUACCGGUGGCGAAGGCGGCCCCCUGGACAAAGACUGACGCUCAGGUGCGAAAGCGUGGGGAGCAAACAGGAUUAGAGACCCGCGUAGUCCCUGUCUCUUAUAC